CAAUGUCCCAGUCCCUGGAGAGGUCUCACCCCUCACCGAGAUGCACUCAGGGCCUAUUAGUGCUUUGAAAACUAAGCAAGAGAACAGAAACAUAUCCACCAACCUCUGUAUCGAGUCACUAAGAAUAGUCCAACACAGAACUCUUAAAAAAGACUCAUCCCUCCUAAAGCUCACCCUUUACCCCCAGACCAAUCAGCACUAAAGAACUUCACCUUCUUAUCUCCAAUGAACUUCACCUCCGGUCUGCUUGAUCCAGCCACCGCUCCUCAUGUUGGAAUUCUCCAUCAUCCUGGACUGCUCUACCACUAAGAUUUUAAACUCUGAAGUUCCAACUGCAUUGUCGAACUUUCUAAACAAAUGGCCUAUCAGUGCUUCUAACCUAACAUGAUUAAGACUAAAUUCAUCAUCUGGUCAUCCAAACUUCUUCAUCAUUUGAUUUUCCAUAUUUCUGGUAACAGUGCCAUCACUAGCCUGUUAACUAAUGUUUAAAACCUCUAAGUCAUCACUCUGCCAAAUCCAAAUGCUCCUCC
Long non-coding RNA from Diceros bicornis minor, 530 nucleotides. RefSeq lists it as uncharacterized. The record is from RefSeq and is a predicted model, not a curated record. Lineage: Eukaryota; Metazoa; Chordata; Mammalia; Perissodactyla; Rhinocerotidae. The transcript is spliced from 3 exons.